GAAGGUCCUUCCAACAUAACUUCAGGAACAGUUACAGAACAAUCACUGGAAGUGUUAAAUGCUACAGAAAGUAGCAUAGUUGUCAGAAUUAGAGGGCCAAAAAUAUUGAUGGGAAAGUCGAACUUCAGCCCUGAGUUUGAAGGUGUUAAUUGCUUGACAUUCUGAAUUAGGUGGUAUGUAAGAUUACAAUGUCAUCAAAGCAUUGACUGGCUUCAGUGUGGUUGUUCUACUCUGCAAAUCUACGAAAGUUGGUGGAUGUUGUCCUUGGUACUCUGGAGUUUUCCCUGGCCUUUUGAUGAUCUUUGAGUCUUCAGUGGAUUGAAUCAAGGAGGAGCAGCUUCCCACAACCUGAAAUUGACAAUAGUCAA
Procambarus clarkii (red swamp crayfish) is the source of this 368-nucleotide long non-coding RNA. RefSeq lists it as uncharacterized. NCBI's taxonomy places the organism in Eukaryota, Metazoa, Arthropoda, Malacostraca, Decapoda, Cambaridae. The record is from RefSeq and is a predicted model, not a curated record.